AGGCAAGAAGCGAAUAUUCGCUGUUGAUUUCGGCUCAUCCUUUGGUCUAAUAGGGCCCUUGUUUU
Molecule: transfer RNA, 65 nt
Filed under: Lepas anatifera
Lineage: Eukaryota; Metazoa; Arthropoda; Thecostraca; Lepadidae
Description: tRNA-Arg
Source: RNAcentral